UGCAAGUCGAACGAGAGAGAAGGAGCUUGCUUCUUCGAUCGAGUGGCGAACGGGUGAGUAACGCGUGAGGAACCUGGCUCAAAGAGGGGGACAACAGUUGGAAACGACUGCUAAUACCGCAUAAGCCCACGGGUCGGCAUCGACCUGAGGGAAAAGGAGCAAUCCGCUUUGAGAUGGCCUCGCGUCCGAUUAGCUAGUUGGUGAGGUAACGGCCCACCAAGGCGACGAUCGGUAGCCGGACUGAGAGGUUGAACGGCCACAUUGGGACUGAGACACGGCCCAGACUCCUACGGGAGGCAGCAGUGGGGAAUAUUGCACAAUGGGGGAAACCCUGAUGCAGCGACGCCGCGUGGAGGAAGAAGGUCUUCGGAUUGUAAACUCCUGUUGUUGAGGAAGAUAAUGACGGUACUCAACAAGGAAGUGACGGCUAACUACGUGCCAGCAGCCGCGGUAAAACGUAGGUCACAAGCGUUGUCCGGAAUUACUGGGUGUAAAGGGAGCGCAGGCGGGAAGACAAGUUGGAAGUGAAAUCUAUGGGCUCAACCCAUAAACUGCUUUCAAAACUGUUUUUCUUGAGUAGUGCAGAGGUAGGCGGAAUUCCCGGUGUAGCGGUGGAAUGCGUAGAUAUCGGG
Molecule: ribosomal RNA, 632 nt
Filed under: uncultured bacterium
Lineage: Bacteria
Description: bacterial SSU rRNA
Rfam family: Bacterial small subunit ribosomal RNA
Source: RNAcentral